RNAcentral lists this ribosomal RNA (1205 nucleotides) under Xylaria apoda. RNAcentral's name for it is "eukaryotic LSU rRNA". It matches the Rfam family "Eukaryotic large subunit ribosomal RNA", at positions 69 to 1317 of the family's 3401-position model. Lineage: Eukaryota; Fungi; Ascomycota; Sordariomycetes; Xylariales; Xylariaceae. The record is from RNAcentral.
CAGGGAUUGCCCUAGUAACGGCGAGUGAAGCGGCAACAGCUCAAAUUUGAAAUCUGGCCCUCGGGUCCGAGUUGUAAUUUGUAGAGGAUGCUUUUGGCGCGGUGCCUUCCGAGUUCUCUGGAACGAGACGCCUUAGAGGGUGAGAGCCCCGUACGGUUGGACACUAAGCCUCUGUAAAGCUCCUUCGACGAGUCGAGUAGUUUGGGAAUGCUGCUCUAAAUGGGAGGUAAAUUUCUUCUAAAGCUAAAUAUUGGCCAGAGACCGAUAGCGCACAAGUAGAGUGAUCGAAAGAUGAAAAGCACUUUGAAAAGAGGGUUAAAUAGUACGUGAAAUUGUUGAAAGGGAAGCGUUUGCGACCAGACCUUUUCUUAGCGGAUCAUCCGGUGUUCUCACCGGUGCACUUCGCUAGGUUUAGGCCAGCAUCGGUUUCUGUAGGGGGAUAAAAGCCCUGGGAAUGUAGCUCCCUCGGGAGUGUUAUAGCCCUCUGCAUAAUACCCUUACAGGGACCGAGGACCGCGCUUCGGCAAGGAUGCUGGCGUAAUGGUCGUCAACGACCCGUCUUGAAACACGGACCAAGGAGUCGAACAUUUGUGCGAGUGUUUGGGUGCUAAACCCUCACGCGUAAUGAAGGUGAACGGAGGUGAGAGCCCCUAGGGGUGCAUCAUCGACCGAUCCUGAUGUCUUCGGAUGGAUUUGAGUAAGAGCAUAACUGUUCGGACCCGAAAGAUGGUGAACUAUGCGUGGAUAGGGUGAAGCCAGAGGAAACUCUGGUGGAGGCUCGCAGCGGUUCUGACGUGCAAAUCGAUCGUCAAAUCUGCGCAUGGGGGCGAAAGACUUAUCGAACCAUCUAGUAGCUGGUUACCGCCGAAGUUUCCCUCAGAUAGCAGUGUUGUUCUUCAGUUUUAUGAGGUAAAGCGAAUGAUUAGGGACUCGGGGGCGCUUUUUAGCCUUCAUCCAUUCUCAAACUUUAAAUAUGUAAGAAGCCCUUGUUGCUUAAUUGAACGUGGCAUUCGAAUGUACCAACACUAGUGGCCAUUUUUGGUAAGCAGAACUGGCGAUGCGGGAUGACGAACGCGGGGUAAGGUGCCGGAGUGGACGCUCAUCAGAAACCACAAAAGUGUAGCACAUUUAGACAAAUAGACGUGCAUGCAGUCGAUCGCUAGACUGGUGUACACCUCACCCUAUCGAAUGUGCUUAGCCUGACG